ACAAUAAUGUUCUUUUGAAUUUUUGCGGGCAAUUGACAUUAACAUUAACAUCUAGAGACAUGUUUACAUUCUAUCAGUCCGGCAGCCCUAUUUUGACAUUCGCAACAAUUGACGUACAUUUAUACAAACAGGUGGUCACAAAGAGAUGAGUAUUGAACAAAAUUGCAACAUUAAUGACAUUUAUAGACUAAUUUAAUUCUAUUUAUUUUCUAUUGCAGGUACUGGAGGAUCAUCGUCGUCGUCUGGAGCACUGUGGAUGGCACAGGGCGCAUCCGCCUCAGCGCUAUAUGUGCACGUGUGUGUGAUGCAGCAGAUCACGCAUCUGCGGCAUCAGAAUUGGCAGAGGCUGGAUCCAGGAGUUGGCGUGAAUGGUGAUGGUGAUGGUGUUUGGCGAGCGACUCUGGUCCGGCCGCCCACGUUGCUUCUACCUGGAGAUCUGGGGAUUGGCACUGGUCCGGCCAAUCAGGGUGCGUUGACCAGUGGAAAUGGCCGCAAAUGAGUGCGGAUUGGCUGCAUCCGAGUGGCUGCUGGUCCGGCCACCCAGGAUGCACUGUCGAUGUAGAUGGAGAUGGCGCGCUGGCCAUUGUCGUCUGAAUUGGCUGGCCUCGUCGUUGGAUUGCUGCUGCUGUUUUGUGAUGAUGAUGGCGUGACGUCACGGCCAUCGGUUGACGGCAGCGUAAUCGGAGGGGCGUCCAAAUUGGGCCCAACUUGCAACACAAUGCUGCGGCUGGUGGCGAGGCAGGUACUGGAGAGGCUGAUCUGUGAGUGUAUUGUCAGCGGCAGCCUGUGGACUGGAUGUUGUUGGCGACGGCGAUAGGGCCUUCAAAUUUCGCCCAUUUGGCAGGAAUUGGAUGGCGAAAUUGACGUGGCAACUGCUGGAGAGGCAGCUCUAUCGGAGGCGUGGCAGUGGCUGCUCUGGACCUGUGCGGUGGAUUGUCAGGAGCGUCGUCAAUAAAUCCUAAAAUGUCGUCCAAUUGGCAUCAAAUGUGUGGUGUUGAUGACGGGGCAGCUGCUGAAGGGGCAGAUCCGUCGGAGGCGUGGCAGUGGCUGCUCUGGACCUGUGCGGUGAAUUGUCAGGAGA
Drosophila miranda is the source of this 1081-nucleotide long non-coding RNA. RefSeq lists it as uncharacterized. The transcript has 4 exons. NCBI's taxonomy places the organism in Eukaryota, Metazoa, Arthropoda, Insecta, Diptera, Drosophilidae. The record is from RefSeq and is a predicted model, not a curated record.